This 395-nucleotide ribosomal RNA is filed under the name Limosilactobacillus vaginalis. RNAcentral describes it as "bacterial SSU rRNA". It matches the Rfam family "Bacterial small subunit ribosomal RNA", at positions 658 to 1045 of the family's 1533-position model. Lineage: Bacteria; Bacillati; Bacillota; Bacilli; Lactobacillales; Lactobacillaceae. The record is from RNAcentral.
ACAAGUGGAAACUCCCAUGUGUAAGCGGGUGGAAUGCGUAGAUAUAUGGAAGAACACCAGUGGCGAAGGCGGCUGUCCUGGUCUGCAACUGACGCUGAGGCUCGAAAGCAUGGGUAGCGAACAGGAUUAGAUACCCUGGUAGUCCAUGCCGUAAACGAUGAGUGCUAGGUGUUGGAGGGUUUCCGCCCUUCAGUGCCGGAGCUAACGCAUUAAGCACUCCGCCUGGGGAGUACGACCGCAAGGUUGAAACUCAAAGGAAUUGACGGGGGCCCGCACAAGCGGUGGAGCAUGUGGUUUAAUUCGAAGCUACGCGAAGAACCUUACCAGGUCUUGACAUCUUGCGCUAACCUAAGAGAUUAGGCGUUCCCUUCGGGGACGCAAUGACAGGUGGUGCA